GGCCUCCCGCCCAAUGAUGGGAGGUCCAGCCUGCCCAAUGAUACAUUGAAUGGCCGCGGUACUCUUACCGUGCGAAGGUAGCAUAAUCACUUGUUCAUUAAAUAUGGACUAGUAUGAACGGCAUCACGAGGGUCAUACUGUCUCCCUACUCCAAUCAAUGAAACUAUUUUUCCCGUGAAGAAACGGGAAUUAAACUAUAAGACGAGAAGACCCCAUGGAGCUUUAAACCCAGAACAUCUACCACCCACCCCAUUUUUACCUAACUAUAGUAUUUAUGUUUUCUGGUUUUUGGUUGGGGCGACCACGGAGCAAAAAAAAUCCUCCACGAUGAACAAGCUUUACUUUUACCCAUGAAGCACACUUCUAAGGACCCUUAAUAUGACAUUUCUUGACCCAAGCCUACUUGAUCAACGAACCUAGUUACCCUGGGGAUAACAGCGCAAUCCAUUUCAAGAGCCCAUAUCGACAAAUGGGUUUACGACCUCGAUGUUGGAUCAGGGUAUCCCAGUGGUGCACCCGCUACUAAAGGUUUGUUUGUUCAACAAUUAAUAACCCU
RNAcentral lists this ribosomal RNA (556 nucleotides) under Probreviceps macrodactylus macrodactylus. RNAcentral describes it as "partial 16S ribosomal RNA". It matches the Rfam family "Bacterial large subunit ribosomal RNA", at positions 1829 to 2597 of the family's 2925-position model. The record is from RNAcentral. Lineage: Eukaryota; Metazoa; Chordata; Amphibia; Anura; Brevicipitidae.